Molecule: ribosomal RNA, 468 nt
Filed under: uncultured bacterium
Lineage: Bacteria
Description: partial 16S ribosomal RNA
Rfam family: Bacterial small subunit ribosomal RNA
Source: RNAcentral
GACGAACGCUGGCGGCGUGCUUAACACAUGCAAGUCGAACGGAAAGGCCCUGCUUUUGUGGGGUGCUCGAGUGGCGAACGGGUGAGUAACACGUGAGUAACCUGCCCUUGACUUUGGGAUAACUUCAGGAAACUGGGGCUAAUACCGGAUAGGAGCUCCUGCUGCAUGGUGGGGGUUGGAAAGUUUCGGCGGUUGGGGGUGGACUCGCGGCUUAUCAGCUUGUUGGUGGGGUAGUGGCUUACCAAGGCUUUGACGGGUAGCCGGCCUGAGAGGGUGACCGGCCACAUUGGGACUGAGAUACGGCCCAGACUCCUACGGGAGGCAGCAGUGGGGAAUAUUGCACAAUGGGCGGAAGCCUGAUGCAGCAACGCCGCGUGCGGGAUGACGGCCCUCGGGUUGUAAACCGCUUUCGCCUGUGACGAAGCGUGAGUGACGGUAAUGGGUAAAGAAGCACCGGCUAACUACGUG